GACGAACGCUGGCGGCGUGCUUAACACAUGCAAGUCGAACGGAAAGGCCCUGCUUUUGUGGGGUGCUCGAGUGGCGAACGGGUGAGUAACACGUGAGUAACCUGCCCUUGACUUUGGGAUAACUUCAGGAAACUGGGGCUAAUACCGGAUAGGAGCUCCUGCUGCAUGGUGGGGGUUGGAAAGUUUCGGCGGUCGGGGAUGGACUCGCGGCUUAUCAGCUUGUUGGUGGGGUAGUGGCUUACCAAGGCUUUGACGGGUAGCCGGCCUGAGAGGGUGACCGGCCACAUUGGGACUGAGAUACGGCCCAGACUCCUACGGGAGGCAGCAGUGGGGAAUAUUGCACUAUGGGCGGAAGCCUGAUGCAGCAACGCCGCGUGCGGGAUGACGGCCUUCGGGUUGUAAACCGCUUUCGCCUGUGACGAAGCGUGAGUGACGGUAAUGGGUAAAGAAGCACCGGCUAACUACGUG
Molecule: ribosomal RNA, 468 nt
Filed under: uncultured bacterium
Lineage: Bacteria
Description: partial 16S ribosomal RNA
Rfam family: Bacterial small subunit ribosomal RNA
Source: RNAcentral